CCUACGUGAGGCAGCAGUGGGGAAUAUUGCACAAUGGGGGAAACCCUGAUGCAGCGACGCAGCGUGAGUGAAGAAGUAUCUCGGUACGUAAAACUCUAUCAGCAGGGAAGAUAAUGAAGGUACGUGACCAAGAAGCCCCGGCUAACUACGUGCCAGCAGCCGCGGUAAUACGUAGGGGGCAAGCGUUAUACGGAUUUACUGGGUGUAAAGGGAGCGUAGACGGCAUCACAGGUCUGGAGUGAAAUCCCGGGGCUUAACCCCGGAACUGCUUUGGAAACUGUGAGGCUGGAGUGCAGGAGGGGUAAGCGGAAUUCCUAGUGUAGCGGUGAAAUGCGUAGAUAUUAGGAGGAACUCCGGUGGCGAAGGCGGCUUACUGGACUGUAACUGACGUUGAUGCUCGAAAGCGUGGGGAGCAAACAGGAUUAGAUACCCUAGUAGUC
This 440-nucleotide ribosomal RNA is filed under the name uncultured bacterium. Its description in RNAcentral is "partial 16S ribosomal RNA". It matches the Rfam family "Bacterial small subunit ribosomal RNA", at positions 338 to 795 of the family's 1533-position model. The record is from RNAcentral.